GGCGGUUGGUUACCCGGCGUUUUUCGCCGGCGCAUUCUGCCGUCGCCAGGCCAGCAUCAGUUAGGAUCGAGGCCCACUGCCAGCGGGAACGUGGCUCUUUCGGGAGUGUUAUAGCCCGUUGGUAACGUCUCGGACCGGACUGAGGACCGCGCUUCGGCUCGGAUGCUGGCGUAAUGGCCUCUAGCGACCCGUCUUGAAACACGGACCAAGGAGUUGACCUAGCGUGCGAGUGUUUGGGUGUCAAGCCCUUACGCGCAGUGAAAGCGAAUGCAGGUGGGAGCUUCGGCGCACCAUCGACCGAUCUUGAAGUUUACGGAUGGAUUUGAGUAAGAGCACGUUGGGUCUGACCCGAAAGAAGGUGAACUAUGCAUGAAUAGGGUGAAGCCAGAGGAAACUCUGGUGGAGGCUCGCAGCGGUUCUGACGUGCAAAUCGAUCGUCAAAUUUGUGCAUGGGGGCGAAAGACCAAUCGAACCUUCUAGUAGCUGGUUCCUGCCGAAGUUUCCCUCAGGAUAGCAGAGUUGAUCCUCAGUUUCAUGAGGUAAAGCGAAUGAUUAGAGACUCGGGGGCGCUAUAUUGCCUUCAUCUAUUCUCAAACUUUAAAUAUGUGAGAAGCCUCGUGUUACUUCGGUGAACGCAGGCCUUUGAAUGAAUCAACUCUAGUGGGCCAUUUUUGGUAAGCAGAACUGGCGAUGUGGGAUGAACCAUACGGGGAUUUAAGGUGCCGGAGUGGACGCUCAUCAGACACCACAAAAGGUGUUAGCACAUCUUGACAGCAGGACGGUGGCCAUGGAAGUCGGAACCCGCUAAGGACUGUGUAACAACUCACCUGCCGAAUGUGCUAGCCCUGAAAAUGGAUGGCGCUAAGCGUCCCACCUAUAAUCCCCCCUCGGGGUAGGAACGUCGCCCCGAGGAGUAGGCAGGCGCGGGGGUCCGUGACGAAG
This 942-nucleotide ribosomal RNA is filed under the name Phaeoisaria synnematicus. Its description in RNAcentral is "Phaeoisaria sp. PNS-2019a partial large subunit ribosomal RNA". It matches the Rfam family "Eukaryotic large subunit ribosomal RNA", at positions 442 to 1408 of the family's 3401-position model. Lineage: Eukaryota; Fungi; Ascomycota; Sordariomycetes; Pleurotheciales; Pleurotheciaceae. The record is from RNAcentral.